GUGUCCUUUGCUAUCCGAUCUCCACCCUUCCAAAAGAACCAAACAAACCCCUGUGUCCUUCUCACAUCUCUGUUCCAAAAAGUCAGCUGGGAGUUGGAGCCUUAGGGCACAUACAACCUGGCCCUGUGAGGGCUCCCUGGGGCACUAGGACAAAAGCCAAACUGGGCCCAAGGCAGGCUGGGGUGUUGAGCCUCAACCCGGGGCUUAGGCUGAGCCUGCCUCUCUCCCUCUGGGCCUCAAUCUCCCCUUCACUUGGCCUUGGUGAUCUGACAUCAGGUCUGACACUCUAUAGGGGUGUGUGUGACCCUCCUGUCCCACCCCCUUUUCCUGGCCUCUUGCCAGUAAUCAUGUAAUGAAGAUCUGCCGCUGUACCCACCCGCCCACCUACUCCCUUCCUGGUGGGACUCUGGUCUUUGCUGCCAGAACAGCUCAUCUGGCCCAGAGUGUAUCCCUUCUGUUGGCACAGGUGGGGUUCUUGUGUUAGCAACAGCCACCGAGACCACCAGCCACCUGGAAGAGGAGCAGACAGUGCCCCACAUCACCUUUCCCCAAAGUGUAGGCAGAAUCCUUGGAGAGGAGACUAGGAAACACUCUCUCUAAGCUUAGAAUCACCUGUCCAUCUGCCUCAUUUCACUGAUAGGCUUACUGAGGCACAGAGAGGAGGGACUAUCCCAAGGUCACAAAGCUUAAGUAGUAGCAGGACUAGUGUAGGAACCAGGGCUGUCUGCUUCGGGGCCCAUGGUCUUACUCCUGUGUUACUUUCACCAUCACCAUGCCGUGCUGUGUAAACUUAAGCAAGCCUUUGCUCUUCUGUGGGUCUGAAUUUUUUCCUCUAUGCACUGCUGUGGUGGGACAAGCCUAUCUGAGCACCUUUCCUCUCCUGGGAGGGAGGGUAUAAAGAGUGACUUGAUAGGAAUGUGUCCCAGACUGACAUUAGCCAGCAGGCCUGGCCUGGGCAUCGUGUUGGGCUGGGACUUUGCCACGGGAAACAGGCAGCAAGAGGACACAAGAGCAGGCAUGUCAACAGAACCUUCAUUGGCGGUAUCCUUCCCCUCCCUCCAGAACAGACAUUCUCUCCAGCCCUGGGGGAGGGGAGUGUGACAUGAAAACAGAUCAGAGCUGGUCAGAUGCCUACAUUCUUCUGGGUCCUACAGCAAGGGCAUUGACUUGCACUGUGUCCCAAGGCACCUCAUUCAACCAAAUGUCCCAUCAGAGCCUUGGGGAGGGAGGAAAUGAUUUAAAGAGCCACCUGGGGCCCACUGGGUGACACAUCUUCAUCCAGCAGCCCAGGGAAAAGUGCAGUGACUGGCCUGCUCCAGAUGUGCAGGAUAAUUUGCUGUGACCUCCACAGGGGAAGUGCAGCUCCCUUCUCUAGGCCUCAGCUUCCCCCUGUCAUCCAAGGAAUGGCUUAGACCUUUCAGGGCUCUGCCAGCCCAUGUAGUGCUGUUGGUUCCUGGUUAUCAGGGCCCAGUGGGAAGGUCGGGGGAGCCAUAGGAAGGGGACAAAAAGAUGCUGCACAGCGUGAUGGUCACCUGCCAGGGUAACUAUCCCAGGCCUGGCCAUCAGCUCAGGAGCAAGUUUCCAAGUUUCCCACCUGGUAUUGGCUGCCCCAGCUCUUCCCUCAAUGCCUGCCUGCCUUUUUCAUCAAAACUAGCACAAGGAACUUUUUAAUUCCAGCUUCACUGAGAGCUAACUUGGUGGGCAGACCUGCUUGUUAGGCAAAACAUUGGAACAGCAAUCUUACAGAGCUCAUGUAAACGAGAUUUUGAGAUCUGCUCGCUGCCCCUAGCCCCACUAGCUAUGGAUUAGACUGCUGCUGUUUCCCAUUUAUUUGGGGAGUAGCUGAGAGUUGGUUUGGUUUUUGAGCAACUUUAAUCUGUUUGCCAAGGGCAAAGCGGGAGAAAGAGCAUCAGUGCCCCAAGCAGUGGGGAUGAGAGUGAGGGAGUCUUGCUCACAUUUGCACAGACUGGCAGCGUCAGAGCUGGGAAUGGUGCCAGCCAGCCUUUUCCAUCUCCUCUGUCACCUGAAGAUUUGCAUUUCAAUUUUCCAAGGCCAGCCACCAGCACCCUCUCCCCCAGAACUGCACACAAGUCCUUCAACUCUGCCAGGAGGCUCCCAAAUCUAGAGUCACAGAAAACCUGGGCUCUUGACAUUCUGCUGGUGGCCAGUGACUCUGCUUCCAGCUGGCACCAGUGCAGGGAAGGGGCACUUUGCAGCACUCAGGUGGGAGUGUCAUUGAUGUCACCUCUUUUGAGGCAGGGCAGCCAAAAAGACCAACGUGUUCAUUCCUUGUUAUCCAGGAAUUGUAUUUCUAGAAGUUUGUUUCACAAAAGCAAUCAGAUAUGUGGACAAAGAUAAGGUAUUUAUUGAAGCAUUACUUCUAAGAGGGAAAUUUUGGAAGCUUUUAAAAUGUCCAUCAAUCAGGGUUUGAGUCAGUGCUGUUACAUGCAGGAGAGCUGUGCUGUAGAAUACAAAUGCAGCCAUGAGAAGAUAUGGAACUGAGGGAUUUUGAUAAGGACAGAUAGCUGUAUGUUUGGUAGAAAAUGAUAUAAAAAUGAUAUCAACCCAUAUAACCUCAAUUUUGUGGGUUUUGAAAAAGAGCGUGUAUAUUUUUGAGUAGAAAAAGGACUCAAUGCAUCAGAUGGUUUUAUCUGGAUGGAAAUAUUAUGGAUUUUUUAAAUUUUCUUUUUGCUUUCCUAUAUUUUUAAAAUUCUCUAGGAGUUUCUUUCUUUUCUUUUCCCUCUCCCCUCCCCUCCCCUCCCCUCUCCUCCGUUCCUCUCCCCUCUCCUCUCCUCUCCCUUCUCUCCUUUCUUCCAUUCCUUCUUUCCUUUCUUCUCACUCUGUCACUCAGGCUUGAGUGCAGUGGUGCAAUCUCGGUUUACUGCAGCCUCUGCCUCCUGGGCUCAAGCCAUCUUUCCACCUCAGCCUCCUGAGUAGCUGGGACCACAGGUGCGUGCCACCAUGCCCAGUUAAUUUCUGUAUUUUUGUAGAGAUAAGCGUUUCACCAUGUUGCCCGGGCUGGUCUCAAACUCCUGAGAUGAAGCAAUCCUCCCACCUUGGCCUCCCAAAGUGUUGGGAUAACAGGCAUGAGCCACCAUGCCUGGCCCUAUUAUUUUUCUAAUCAGAAUAAAAGUGAUGUUUUUAUGAGCAGAAUACCCUUACUCAUUGUCUCUCUCAGCCUCUUCCACCCCCAUCACAUUCCUUGUAACACAGGGUAGGUGUCACAGGCUUUGCCUCUCAUGGCUCAGGGUUUAGGGACACUGCAUCACCCACCCCUUCAAGCACCAGCCCCAGGGCAGGGGGUGGGCCCUGAGGAAGCCAAUCAUCGUUUAGAGCAUCCCAGUGUCCUUAGUACCACAGGUCAGGUCCUCAGCUGCUGCAGCCUUACAACUAACCUCUACCCCAGGCUGGCUGGCACAGGGCUGUCGCUUGUCCUGUCUUGUCCUUCCUGCCUUAGAACCUGAACUGAGCCCAGCUGACUGUGGGAAAGUUUCCAUUUGGGCCAGCUGCAGUGUCCCUUUUCCAGGCCAGGGGAGUAGGAGGUGGGCUGCCCGUCUCAUUCUGUGAGCUGUGGAGGAGCCCACAGAGCACAGGGCCAAGUAAACCCUACCUCCAAGGAGCUCACAGUUUGGAGAGACUGACAGUGGGGGCAGAGCUUGCAGCCAAGGCCCCGGUUGCCAAACUCAGGAACUUGGACUUUACUCACAUGAAGCCAGACACACUCUCCAGUCUAAGAGUGACAAGGGUUGGAUUUCAGUUUUAGAAUAAUCACUCUGGCUGUUGCGAAAAGGAUGGGCCCAGAGGGAGGGAAGGCAGGAGGCUGGCAGAGUGCAAAGAAGAGCUGCUGUGUGCAUGGCUGGAGACUGAGAGGAACAAGGGCAAACAUUGCCCACCCCUUCCCAGAGACCCACAGUGCAAAUGGUGACUGCCCAACACCAGCACUGUGGCCCUGGGGAUGAGAGUCUGAGAUCAGGUGUGGAGAUUCAUUGCAGCCCUCAGGCCCAUGGAGGCCCAGGGGAAAUGACACAUCCAAUCCCUCCCUACCCUCUGGGUAUGCCCUGGUAUCCCUCUCCCAGCCAGUUUCCUCUGACCCAAGGUCAUCCUUGCAGCUGGUGAAGACACACAACCUGCUAACCACCAGGAACUAUAUCUUUGGAUACCACCCCCAUGGUAUCAUGGGCCUGGGUGCCUUCUGCAACUUCAGCACAGAGGCCACAGAAGUGAGCAAGAAGUUCCCAGGCAUACGGCCUUACCUGGCUACACUGGCAGGCAACUUCCGAAUGCCUGUGUUGAGGGAGUACCUGAUGUCUGGAGGUAUCUGCCCUGUCAGCCGGGACACCAUAGACUAUUUGCUUUCAAAGAAUGGGAGUGGCAAUGCUAUCAUCAUCGUGGUGGGGGGUGCGGCUGAGUCUCUGAGCUCCAUGCCUGGGAAGAAUGCAGUCACCCUGCGGAACCGCAAGGGCUUUGUGAAACUGGCCCUGCGUCAUGGAGCUGACCUGGUUCCCAUCUACUCCUUUGGAGAGAAUGAAGUGUACAAGCAGGUGAUCUUCGAGGAGGGCUCCUGGGGCCGAUGGGUCCAGAAGAAGUUCCAGAAAUACAUUGGUUUUGCCCCAUGCAUCUUCCAUGGUCGAGGCCUCUUCUCCUCCGACACCUGGGGGCUGGUGCCCUACUCCAAGCCCAUCACCACUGUUGUGGGAGAGCCCAUCACCAUCCCCAAGCUGGAGCACCCAACCCAGCAAGACAUCGACCUGUACCACACCAUGUACAUGGAGGCCCUGGUGAAGCUCUUCGACAAGCACAAGACCAAGUUCGGCCUCCCGGAGACUGAGGUCCUGGAGGUGAACUGAGCCAGCCUUUGGGGCCAACUCCCUGGAGGAACCAGCUGCAAAUCACUUUUUUGCUCUGUAAAUUUGGAAGCGUCAUGGGUGUCUGUGGGUUAUUUAAAAGAAAUUAUAACAAUUUUGCUAAACCAUUACAAUGUUAGGUCUUUUUUAAGAAGGAAAAAGUCAGUAUUUCAAGUUCUUUCACUUCCAGCUUGCCCUGUUCUAGGUGGUGGCUAAAUCUGGGCCUAAUCUGGGUAGCUCAGCUAACCUCUCUUCUUCCCUUCCUUAAGUGACAAAGGAAACUCAGUCUUCUUGGGGAAGAAGGAUUGCCAUUAGUGACUUGGACCAGUUAGAUGAUUCACUUUUUGCCCCUAGGGAUGAGAGGCGAAAGCCACUUCUCAUACAAGCCCCUCUAUUGCCACUACCCCACGCUCGUCUAGUCCUGAAACUGCAGGACCAGUUUCUCUGCCAAGGGGAGGAGUUGGAGAGCACAGUUGCCCCGUUGUGUGAGGGCAGUAGUAGGCAUCUGGAAUGCUCCAGUUUGAUCUCCCUUCUGCCACCCCCACCUCACCCCUAGUCACUCAUAUCGGAGCCUGGACUGGCCUCCAGGAUGAGGAUGGGGGUGGCAAUGACACCCUGCAGGGGAAAGGACUGCCCCCCAUGCACCAUUGCAGGGAGGAUGCCGCCACCAUGAGCUAGGUGGAGUAACUGGUUUUUCUUGGGUGGCUGAUGACAUGGAUGCAGCACAGACUCAGCCUUGGCCUGGAGCACAUGCUUACUGGUGGCCUCAGUUUACUUUCCCCAGAUCCUAGAUUCUGGAUGUGAGGAAGAGGUCCCUCUUCAGAAGGGGCCUGGCCUUCUGAGCAGCAGAUUAGUUCCAAAGCAGGUGGCCCCCGAACCCAAGCCUCACUUUUCUGUGCCUUCCUGAGGGGGUUGGGCCGGGGAGGAAACCCAACCCUCUCCUGUGUGUUCUGUUAUCUCUUGAUGAGAUCAUUGCACCAUGUCAGACUUUUGUAUAUGCCUUGAAAAUAAAUGAAAGUGAG
RNAcentral lists this small RNA (5866 nucleotides) under Pan troglodytes (chimpanzee). RNAcentral's name for it is "retained intron". Lineage: Eukaryota; Metazoa; Chordata; Mammalia; Primates; Hominidae. The record is from RNAcentral.